AGAGUUUGAUCCUGGCUCAGGACGAACGCUGGCGGCGUGCCUAACACAUGCAAGUCACGGGGGGUAGCAAUACCAACCGGCGAACGGGUGUGGAACACGUGAGCAAUCUACCGAUUACUGGGGGAUAGCCGGCCCAACGGCCGGGUAAUACCGCAUACGCUCAAGAGGGGACAUCCCCAUUUGAGGAAACCUCCGGGGGUAAUCGAGGAGCUCGCGUCUUAUCAGCUAGUUGGUGAGGUAACGGCUCACCAAGGCUACGACGGGUAGCUGGUCUGAGAGGAUGGCCAGCCACAUUGGGACUGCGACACGGCCCAGACUCCUACGGGAGGCAGCAGUGGGGAAUAUUGCGCAAUGGACGAAAGUCUGACGCAGCGACGCCGCGUGUGGGAUGAAGCUCUUCGGGGUGUAAACCACUGUUGCCCGGGACGAAUAUCCUUUUUUGAAAGGAUUGACGGUACCGGGUGAGGAAGCACCGGCUAACUCUGUGCCAGCAGCCGCGGUAAUACAGAGGGUGCGAGCGUUGUCCGGAAUCACUGGGCGUAAAGGGCGCGUAGGUGGCUUGUUAAGCGUGUGGUGAAAGCCUGGGGCUCAACCCCAGGUCUGCCGUGCGAACUGGCAAGCUUGAGCGUAGUAGAGGCAGGUGGAAUUUCGGGCGUAGCGGUGGAAUGCGUAGAUAUCCGAAAGAACACCGGUGGCGAAGGCGGCCUGCUGGGCUACUGCUGACACUGAUGCGCGACAGCGUGGGGAGCAAACAGGAUUAGAUACCCUGGUAGUCCACGCCGUAAACGAUGGGUACUAGGCGUCUGGGGGAGCGACCCCCUGGGUGCCGGCGCUAACGCAUGAAGUACCCCGCCUGGGGAGUACGGCCGCAAGGCUGAAACUCAAAGGAAUUGACGGGGCCCGCACAAGCGGUGGAGCAUGUGGUUUAAUUCGACGCAACGCGAAGAACCUUACCUGGGUUUGACAUGCUGGAGAAAGCCCUCAGAAACGGGGGCCCCUCUUCGGAGUUCCAGCACAGAUGCUGCAUGGCUGUCGUCAGCUCGUGUCGUGAGAUGUUGGGUUAAGUCCCGCAACGAGCGCAACCCUCAUCCCUAGUUACCAGCGGGUAAAGCCGGGAACUCUAGGGGGACUGCCGGUGCCAAACCGGACGAAGGUGGGGACGACGUCAAGUCAUCAUGGCUCUUACAUCCAGGGCUACACACGUGCUACAAUGGGCCAGACAAAGGGUCGCCAACCCGCGAGGGGGAGCCAAUCCCAUAAACUGGUCCUCAGUUCGGAUUGCAGUCUGCAACUCGACUGCAUGAAGCUGGAAUCGCUAGUAAUCGUGGAUCAGCUACGCCACGGUGAAUACGUUCCCGGGCCUUGUACACACCGCCCGUCACGCCAUGGAAGCUGUGAGUGCCCGAAGUCCGUGCAGGAACCCGCAAGGGGCCGAGCGGCCGAAGGCAAGCGCAGUGACUGGGGCGAAGUCGUAACAAGGUA
This 1482-nucleotide ribosomal RNA is filed under the name metagenome. RNAcentral's name for it is "bacterial SSU rRNA". It matches the Rfam family "Bacterial small subunit ribosomal RNA". The record is from RNAcentral.